Molecule: long non-coding RNA, 3276 nt
Filed under: Mus musculus (house mouse)
Lineage: Eukaryota; Metazoa; Chordata; Mammalia; Rodentia; Muridae
Description: long non-coding RNA chr7:27912021-27915297
Source: RNAcentral
GAGCAAGAGUCUGGCAGGUAUAAGGAGGCAUUUCUUCCUUUUUAGUAACCUUUUGACCAGCAUCUCCUCCUUUAUAACCCUGUAGUCCACUGAAUAUACUAUGGUUGUGGCCAUUACUAAAAGUAGAGCCCUCGAGAUCAAGAAUUCUACUUAAUUGCUUUAUGCUCUGUUUGGGAAAAUUUCCAUUACUAAUAGAAUUUUCUGGAGAUAUACUUCCAGCAUCAUAAUCUGUCUCCAAAUCUGAAAGAAAAGGAAAAAUCAAGAAUACUUUAUUUUCCAGUAAAACACACACACAAUUUUCUUGUAACAUAAAAUCCAUUAAAUACAUGGCUAGACUCUAAAGUAAUAUCUGAGAAGCUGAACAAGAGUAAGGAGAGCAGCAGUAAGGAAAGUUUAUGUAAGACAAUACACUUUACAGUAGAGCAGGUUGGAAAUGGGAAGACAUGUCCAAUCCAAACAAAUGGAUCUAAGGACCAAGCUGGUAUAGUCAUUUCAAUAUCUAACAAAAUAGAGUUCAAACUAACACUACCCAAGAGAUAGGAAAGGAUCUUAUCAAAGGAACAAUCCAGCAAAAUCUAUGCACCAAACAUCCAACAUCCAAUUUAGUAAAAAAAAAAAAAAAAAAAAAAAAAAAAAAAAUUACAGCUUAAAUCACAUACUUAAAAUCACAUAUUGUAGCAAGAGACUGCAAUACCCAACUCCCACCAAUAGACAGGUCAUCCAGACAAAAAUUAAACAGGGAAAUGCUGGCACUAACUGAUAUUAUAAACCAAAUUGACCAUAUAGGUAUUUACACAAAAAACUAUACCUUCUUCUCAGCACAUCAUCAAACUUUCUCCAAAAUUGAGCACAUACAUGGGCACAAAACAAUUCUCAACAAAUACAAGAAAAUUCAAAUAACACCUUGAAUGCUAACUAACCACCAUGGAUAUUAGUAACAACAGAAAAAAAUGAAAGCUUACAAAUUGAACCAUACUACUCAAUGAAAAUUGGGUCAAGACAGAGAUUGAGAGAUAUUAAAGACUUCCUAGGAUGAAUGAAAAUGAAGGCACAAAAUAUCUAAACUUAGAGAAACUAUGAAGGUGAUUCUAAGAGGUAAAUUCAUAAUGGUAUGUACCUACAUUUAAGAAAAAUUGAGAGAUCUCACUCUAAUAACACAAGCUCUUGGUUUUGUUUGUUCUUUAUAUUGUUCUCUGUUUCUAAUUGAUUUCAGCCCUGAGUGAAGUGCAAGUUUCUGGUUGGGUCAUGUGAUACAGAUGCAGGUGGUGUCUUACUGUGGCAGACUCACAUUGUGUUUUGCUGAGGCAAGACCUGUGGGAGGACAGGUGAUGUUUGGAGAGAGUAUAAAUAGGACUCAACAGACAAUGUAGUCACCCUUGAAUAGCUAGCCUUGCAAUGCUUUGUUGGUAGUGCAUCUUCACUUCAUUGAGAGAAGCACAACAGUGAACUUUUCCUGGUGUCCCAGCUAGUUCUGGUCACUCCCACUGAUUUACAGCAAUUCAGCGGAGGCCUGGCUGUUUCUGUUGGAUCAUGUCAUUACUGCCAAUUCAUGUUUGGUAUCCUGACCCUACUGAACUGGACUGCUGGUAUCCUGACAAACCAUCGGAAAGAACUACUUCUAAACAGAUCCACAUCCCCUUGUCCUAUUUACCAUCUUUUUUCCCAUACCUUUAGAAGGUGGGCUAGAAGGGAGGGUCAAUGCGUUUGAGAACCCUUAUUAAAAGUAGGUUUUGAAAACUCUAAGCUACACCUGAGUUUGAUUAUUUCCUGCUGUCUACUCCUCUUGGGUGUGUUUGCUUUUUUAUAGUGUCCCUUAAGUUUGAGUAUGUUGUGCCCUCAUUUUCAUUAAAUUCUAGAAAGUUUUUAAUUUCUCUCUUUAUUUCUUCCCUUAGCCAGCAAUCAUUUAGUAGAGAGUUGUUCAGUUUCCAUGAGUUUAUAGGCUUUCUGUUGUUUCUGUUGUUGAAUUCCAGCUUUAAUCCAUGGUGAUCUGAUAAGAUGCAAGGGGUUAUUUCAAUUUUGUAUAGUUUUGUUAAGGCUUGCUUUGUGUUCAGUUAUAUAGUUCAAUUUUAUAGGAGGUUCCCCGAGGUGCUGAGAAGGUAUAUUUUUCUGUGUUUGAGUGAAAUGUUCUAUAGACUUCUGUUAGGUCCAUUUGAAUCAUAACCUCUGUUAGUUUCAUUAUUUUUCUAAUGUUUAGUUUCUGUCUCAAGGAUCUCUCCAUUGGUGAAAGUGGGGUGUUGAAGUCUCCCACUAUGGGAUCUUCAAUGUAUGAUUUAAGCUUUUAGUAAUGUUUCUUUUACAAAUGUUGGUGCCCCUUGCAUUUGGGGCACAGAUGUUCAGAAUUCAAAUAUCAGCUUGGUGUAUUUUUCCUUUGAUGAGUAUGAAGUGUCCUUCCCAAUCUCUUUUGAUUACUUUUGGUUGAAAGUCUAUUUUAUUAGAUAUUAGAAAUGGUUACUUCAGUUUGUUUCUUAGGUUCAUUUGCUUGCGAAACUUUUUCCCAGUAUUUUACUCUAAGAUAAUGUCUAUCUUUGUUGCUGAGAUAUGUUUCUGUUAUACAGCAGAAUGAUGGGUUCUGUUUAAGCAUCCAUUCUGUUAGCCUGUGCCUUUUUAUUGGGGAAUUGAGUCCAUUGAUGUUGAGAGAUAUUGAUCAAUGAUUGCUACUUCCUGUAAUUUUGAUGUUGGUAGUGGUUGUGUGUGUGUCUGUGUGUGUAUUUCUCUUCUAUUGGCUGUAAUGGGGUGAAAGUAUUUGUGUUUUCUUGAGUGUAGUUAGCCUCACUGGGUUGGAGUUUUUCUUCUAGUAUCCUCUGUAGGGCUGGGUUAGCGUAAUGAUGUUGUUUAAAUUUGGUUUUGUCAUGGAAUAUCUUGGUUUAUCAAUCUAUAGUGAUUGAAAGUUUUGCUGGGUAUAGUAGUCUGAGUUGACAUUUGUGGUCACUUUAGGGUCUGCGAGACAUCUGUCCAGGCCCUUCUAGCUUUUAGAGUCUCAGUGGAGAAAUCAGGUAUAGUUCUGAUAGGUCUGCCUUUAUAUAUUACUUGUCCUUUCCCCUUACACCUUUUAAUAUUCUUUCUUUGCUCUGCAUAUUUAGUGUUUUCAUUAUUAUGUGGCAGGAGGAUUUUAUUUCUAGUCCAAUUUUUCUUUAUGUUUUUUGUAAGCUUCUUGUACAUUUAGAGGCAUCUUUUUUUUUAAGUUAGGGAAAUUUUAAUUAUGAUUUUGUUGGAGAUGUUUUCUGGGACUUUCAGCUCUCAUUCUGACAACUUAACCAGAACAAAAAGCUCUAGAGC